RNAcentral lists this ribosomal RNA (459 nucleotides) under uncultured bacterium. RNAcentral describes it as "bacterial SSU rRNA". It matches the Rfam family "Bacterial small subunit ribosomal RNA", at positions 29 to 532 of the family's 1533-position model. The record is from RNAcentral.
AACGAACGCUGGCGGCAUGCCUAACACAUGCAAGUCGAACGAAGGCUUCGGCCUUAGUGGCGCACGGGUGCGUAACGCGUGGGAACCUGCCCCUCGGUUCGGAAUAACAGUUAGAAAUGACUGCUAAUACCGGAUGAUGACUUCGGUCCAAAGAUUUAUCGCCGAGGGAUGGGCCCGCGUAGGAUUAGCUAGUUGGUGGGGUAAAGGCCUACCAAGGCGACGAUCCUUAGACUGGUCUGAGAGGAUGAUCAGCCACACUGGGACUGAGACACGGCCCAGACUCCUACGGGAGGCAGCAGUGGGGAAUAUUGGACAAUGGGCGAAAGCCUGAUCCAGCAAUGCCGCGUGAGUGAUGAAGGCCUUAGGGUUGUAAAGCUCUUUUACCAGGGAUGAUAAUGACAGUACCUGGAGAAUAAGCUCCGGCUAACUCCGUGCCAGCAGCCGCGGUAAUGUAGACGU